AUGAGUGAUCAAAUCAAUCAUCUUUAGGACAUGCAUUUUCAUGGAAGAGCCUUCAGUCAUAUGGGCACGAAAUAACUAUUUUGAUAUCUCAUAUCGAGCAGCUCGAUUUUGCUCCCCAUAUAACUCUUUAAGAUUAAGGAGAACAGAGAAAAAUCCAUGUCCUCACGCUACCUCUGGAGCUCAUUGCUCAUGGAGGCAAGCAUGAUACAGUUG
RNAcentral lists this long non-coding RNA (213 nucleotides) under Elaeis guineensis (African oil palm). RNAcentral's name for it is "long non-coding RNA (EGUI_LNC067695)". The record is from RNAcentral. Lineage: Eukaryota; Viridiplantae; Streptophyta; Magnoliopsida; Arecales; Arecaceae.